UCAAACUUGGUCAUUUAGAGGAAGUAAAAGUCGUAACAAGGUUUCCGUAGGUGAACCUUCGGAAGGAUCAUUACCGUAACGCGGCCGCCCAAUCGGGGGGCCACACGCGUUUGACACCCUUGACUUUUGAGCACCGUUUUGUUUCCUCGGCGGGGACGCCCGCCAGCGAGGACCCCCAUGAACCCUUUGCAGUAGCAGUAUUUGUCUGAAAAACAACGUAAUCGUUAAAACUUUCAACAAUGGAUCUCUUGGUUCUGGCAUCGAUGAAGAACGCAGC
Molecule: unclassified non-coding RNA, 277 nt
Filed under: uncultured fungus
Lineage: Eukaryota; Fungi
Description: partial contains small subunit ribosomal RNA, internal transcribed spacer 1, and 5.8S ribosomal RNA
Rfam family: Eukaryotic small subunit ribosomal RNA (bases 1-73)
Source: RNAcentral